GACGAACGCUGGCGGCGUGCCUAAUACAUGCAAGUAGAACGCUGAAGAGAGGAGCUUGCUCUUCUUGGAUGAGUUGCGAACGGGUGAGUAACGCGUAGGUAACCUGCCUUGUAGCGGGGGAUAACUAUUGGAAACGAUAGCUAAUACCGCAUAACAAUGAGUGACACAUGUCAUUUAUUUGAAAGGGGCAAUUGCUCCACUACAAGAUGGACCUGCGUUGUAUUAGCUAGUAGGUGAGGUAACGGCUCACCUAGGCGACGAUACAUAGCCGACCUGAGAGGGUGAUCGGCCACACUGGGACUGAGACACGGCCCAGACUCCUACGGGAGGCAGCAGUAGGGAAUCUUCGGCAAUGGGGGCAACCCUGACCGAGCAACGCCGCGUGAGUGAAGAAGGUUUUCGGAUCGUAAAGCUCUGUUGUAAGUCAAGAACGAGUGUGAGAGUGGAAAGUUCACACUGUGACGGUAGCUUACCAGAAAGGGACGGCUAACUACGUGCCAGCAGCCGCGGUAAUACGUAGGUCCCGAGCGUUGUCCGGAUUUAUUGGGCGUAAAGCGAGCGCAGGCGGUUUGAUAAGUCUGAAGUUAAAGGCUGUGGCUCAACCAUAGUUCGCUUUGGAAACUGUCAAACUUGAGUGCAGAAUGGGAGAGUGGAAUUCCAUGUGUAGCGGUGAAAUGCGUAGAUAUAUGGAGGAACACCGGUGGCGAAAGCGGCUCUCUGGUCUGUAACUGACGCUGAGGCUCGAAAGCGUGGGGAGCGAACAGG
Molecule: ribosomal RNA, 765 nt
Filed under: uncultured Streptococcus sp.
Lineage: Bacteria; Bacillati; Bacillota; Bacilli; Lactobacillales; Streptococcaceae
Description: bacterial SSU rRNA
Rfam family: Bacterial small subunit ribosomal RNA
Source: RNAcentral